ACAGCCGUACCAUGCUGAAUAUACCGGUUCUCGUCAGAUCACCGAAGUUAAGCAUCAUUGGGCGCGGUCAGUACUUGGGUGGGUGACCACCUGGGAACACUCCGUGCCGUU
This 111-nucleotide ribosomal RNA is filed under the name Caerostris darwini. Lineage: Eukaryota; Metazoa; Arthropoda; Arachnida; Araneae; Araneidae. The record is from RNAcentral.